Molecule: ribosomal RNA, 92 nt
Filed under: Veillonella magna
Lineage: Bacteria; Bacillati; Bacillota; Negativicutes; Veillonellales; Veillonellaceae
Description: partial 23S ribosomal RNA
Rfam family: Bacterial large subunit ribosomal RNA
Source: RNAcentral
AUCCCAUGUAGACGACAUGGUUGAUAGGCCAGAUGUGGAAGAGCUGUGAGGCUUGGAGCUGACUGGUACUAAUAGAUCGAGGGCUUUACUUA